UUGUAGCAUAAAAGGAGAGAUGUUUGGCAACUCCCCUAGACAAGGAUG
This 48-nucleotide small nuclear RNA is filed under the name Lasius niger. The record is from RNAcentral. Lineage: Eukaryota; Metazoa; Arthropoda; Insecta; Hymenoptera; Formicidae.